CUCAGGAUGAACGCUGGCGGCGUGCUUAACACAUGCAAGUCGAACGAGAGAAGAUUGGUGCUUGCACUGAUCCGAUCGAGUGGCGGACGGGUGAGUAACGCGUGGGUAACCUGCCUCAUACAGGGGAUAACAGUUGGAAACGGCUGCUAAAACCGCAUAAGCGCACAGUAUCGCAUGAUACAGUGUGAAAAACUCCGGUGGUAUGAGAUGGACCCGCGUCUGAUUAGCUAGUUGGUGAGGUAACGGCCCACCAAGGCAACGAUCAGUAGCCGGCCUGAGAGGGUGAACGGCCACAUUGGGACUGAGACACGGCCCAAACUCCUACGGGAGGCAGCAGUGGGGAAUAUUGCACAAUGGGGGAAACCCUGAUGCAGCGACGCCGCGUGAGUGAUGAAGUAUUUCGGUAUGUAAAGCUCUAUCAGCAGGGAAGAUAAUGACGGUACCUGACUAAGAAGCACCGGCUAAAUACGUG
This 472-nucleotide ribosomal RNA is filed under the name uncultured bacterium. RNAcentral's name for it is "bacterial SSU rRNA". It matches the Rfam family "Bacterial small subunit ribosomal RNA", at positions 23 to 507 of the family's 1533-position model. The record is from RNAcentral.